GCCGGAUUGGUGAAAUUGGCAGACGCACCGCACUCAAAAUGCGGCGGAGCAAUCCAUAUCGGGUCGAGUCCGAUAUCCGGCA
RNAcentral lists this transfer RNA (82 nucleotides) under Clostridia bacterium. RNAcentral's name for it is "tRNA-Leu". It matches the Rfam family "tRNA". Rfam says of the family: Transfer RNA (tRNA) molecules are approximately 80 nucleotides in length. The record is from RNAcentral. Lineage: Bacteria; Bacillati; Bacillota; Clostridia.